GCGCAAUGGGCGAAAGCCUGACGCAGCUACGCCGCGUGGGUGAUGAAGGCCUUCGGGUUGUAAAGCCCUGUCGAGGGGGAAGAAGUAUGACGGUACCCCUCAAGAAAGCGCCGGCUAACCCUGUGCCAGCAGCCGCGGUAAUACAGGGGGCGCGAGCGUUGCUCGGAAUCACUGGGCGUAAAGCGUACGCAGGCGGACUGUUAAGUCGGGUGUGAAAGCCCGGGGCUCAACCCCGGAAUUGCAUUCGAAACUGGCAGUCUUGAGUACGGAAGAGGGGAGUGGAAUUCCUGGUGUAGAGGUGAAAUUCGUAGAUAUCAGGAGGAACACCGGUGGCGAAAGCGGCUCCCUGGUCCGAUACUGACGCUCAUGUACGAAAGCGUGGGGAGCAAACAGGAUUAGAUACCCUGGUAGUCCACGCCGUAAACGAUGGAUGCUAGAUGUUGGGGGUAUUGACCCCUCCGGCGUCGCAGUUAACGCAUUAAGCAUCCCGCCUGGGGAGUACGGCCGCAAGGCUA
Molecule: ribosomal RNA, 515 nt
Filed under: uncultured bacterium
Lineage: Bacteria
Description: bacterial SSU rRNA
Rfam family: Bacterial small subunit ribosomal RNA
Source: RNAcentral